GACGAACGCUGGCGGCGUGCUUAACACAUGCAAGUCGAACGGAAAGGCCCUGCUUUUGUGGGGUGCUCGAGUGGCGAACGGGUGAGUAACACGUGAGUAACCUGCCCUUGACUUUGGGGUAACUUCAGGAAACUGGGGCUAAUACCGGAUAGGAGCUCCUGCUGCAUGGUGGGGGUUGGAAAGUUUCGGCGGUUGGGGAUGGACUCGCGGCUUAUCAGCUUGUUGGUGGGGUAGUGGCUUACCAAGGCUUUGACGGGUAGCCGGUCUGAGAGGGUGACCGGCCACAUUGGGACUGAGAUACGGCCCAGACUCCUACGGGAGGCAGCAGUGGGGAAUAUUGCACAAUGGGCGGAAGCCUGAUGCAGCAACGCCGCGUGCGGGAUGACGGCCUUCGGGUUGUAAACCGCUUUCGCCUGUGACGAAGCGUGAGUGACGGUAAUGGGUAAAGAAGCACCGGCUAACUACGUG
This 468-nucleotide ribosomal RNA is filed under the name uncultured bacterium. RNAcentral's name for it is "partial 16S ribosomal RNA". It matches the Rfam family "Bacterial small subunit ribosomal RNA", at positions 28 to 507 of the family's 1533-position model. The record is from RNAcentral.